RNAcentral lists this ribosomal RNA (484 nucleotides) under uncultured bacterium. Its description in RNAcentral is "partial 16S ribosomal RNA". It matches the Rfam family "Bacterial small subunit ribosomal RNA", at positions 29 to 507 of the family's 1533-position model. The record is from RNAcentral.
AUUGAACGCUGGCGGCAUGCUUUACACAUGCAAGUCGAACGGCAGCGCGGGCUUCGGCCUGGCGGCGAGUGGCGAACGGGUGAGUAAUACAUCGGAACGUGCCCAGUCGUGGGGGAUAGCCCGGCGAAAGCCGGAUUAAUACCGCAUACGACCUGAGGGUGAAAGCGGGGGAUCUUCGGACCUCGCGCUAUUGGAGCGGCCGAUGGUAGAUUAGAUAGUUGGUGGGGUAAAGGCCUUCCAAGGCGACGAUCUGUAGCUGGUCUGAGAGGACGACCAGCCACACUGGGACUGAGACACGGCCCAGACUCCUACGGGAGGCAGCAGUGGGGAAUUUUGGACAAUGGGCGAAAGCCUGAUCCAGCAAUGCCGCGUGUGUGAUGAAGGCCUUCGGGUUGUAAAGCACUUUUGGCGGGAACGAAAAGGACUGUGCCAAUACCACGGUUCGAUGACGGUACCCGCAGAAUAAGCACCGGCUAACUACGUG